GAGCAUUCCCUGAGUCGAGAGGAGGAAGCGUGUCCCUACUCUCUGUUGUGACUCUUCACUGGCUAGAUAUAAAGUCUAGCAGAGCGAGUGUUGCUGGUGGAGGGGCCGCGCCGGGUGUCUCGUAACACGAAAAUACGACAUACCUCCCGUGAGAACCUGUACAUGGAGCUACGGAGUUUUUAUCUUUCAAGAUGUCGUAUAUGAAGGGUAUGCAGCGACGCCACCACAACACAUCUGCCUCGUCAGAGAAAGCAGCAGGAACAGCAGCACACAGAGAGCACCAUGGGACUGAACAUCAUCGUAUUUCUAAUCCUGGGUUCUUCUCUGGCGACUAAUGCUUUGGACUCAUUGACUGACACGUCUACCGACAGCAACACCACCCCCACGGUUAAACACCAUUCACUGAGCCAUACACCAAGAUUGGAGGUCGUUGUUUGCUGUUCGCCUUAAUAACACCGAGCAGCUGGUACAACAUGAAGUACGUGUGAGAGUCCCUGGACGGUCACCUGGCCAUUGUCAAAGACGCCAACCUUCUGGGGGACAUUAUUGACUAUAUUUACGAACAUGAGUCAACAGCCAAAGAUUACUGGCUGGGAGCGACCGACGAGGAGGUUGAAGGGUCGUGGAAGUGGCUGGACGGCUCAGCGGUGACGAUGGGGAUGCCACUGUG
Molecule: long non-coding RNA, 670 nt
Organism: Homarus americanus (American lobster)
Lineage: Eukaryota; Metazoa; Arthropoda; Malacostraca; Decapoda; Nephropidae
Exons: 4
Source: RefSeq, a predicted model, not a curated record